GUUGAAAAGCUGUAUUUGAUUAUUUUUUAGUUGGGUUGUGUUCCUUUUGCAUCAUGAUUAGACGAUGUAUAAUAGAAUAUUUCUUUUUACCGAAAAUCGAUGAUUUCUGCGAAGUUUGGAAAUUUUUUAGAGGGUAUUCAUUUACUACUUGGGUAAAUUUAGUAUAAAAUUUUGUUGCGAUGUGAUAAAUUAUUCGGAUUGAUUUAUAACUGUUUAGUAGGAGUAAAAUUUUGUUUAAAAUUGCUAGCGAAGAGGUUAGUGAUUUAAUCAUACUUUGUUGUUUAACGAUGAUUUGUGUAAGGUUAAAAUUACCUAUUAUUAGCGAGUUUAUUACAAAACUUUUAUUAUUUCGGGAAAGUUGAUGUGACUUCUUACUAGGUUAGUGAAUCUUGUGUUAAUAAAUAAUGUUUAAAUAAGUAAUAGUUAUUAGUUUUAUUGUUUCUCAGGUUUUGCCCGUCUGUUUAUUAAAAACAUUUCCAUUUUUUAAAAUAAAUGGUAGUACCUGCUCUAUGUUUUUAUAAAUGGCCGCAGUAUCUUGACUGUGCGAAGGUAGCAUAAUUAAUUGCCUCAUAAUUAGGGGCUAGUUUGAAUGGUUUGACGAGGUAAUAAGCUAACAUUAAGACUUUUUGUGAAAUUACUGUAGGGUGCACAGAAGCCUCUUUUUUUAAUUAGACGGAAAGACCCCGGGAUCUUUUAUUUUGCUUGGGGCAAGUUUGAAUUUUUUAUUCUUAUUAUGACCCUUAAGGUUUAUUGGGUUAAGUUACCCCGGGGAUAACAGUGUAAUAGUUUAUUAGAGACCCUAUCGAUUAAGCUGUUUGUUACCUCGAUGUUGACUUAGGUUUUAAAUUGGGCGCAGUAGUUCAAAUUUUAGGUCUGUUCGACCUUGUAACCUCCAUGAGUUGAGUUAAGACCGGCGUGAGCCAGGUCGGUUCUUAUCUAUUGUUGUGAUUUACUAGUACGAAAGGAUUGUAAGUUGUUUUAU
Molecule: ribosomal RNA, 982 nt
Rfam family: Bacterial large subunit ribosomal RNA (bases 667-941)